GCUGGGCAUGGUGGCACCCGCCCAUAAUCCCAGUGGCUUGGGAGGCUGAGGCAGGAGGAUCACAAGUUCAAAGCCAGUCUCAGGAGCGAGGCCCUAAGCAACUCUGUGAGACCCUGUCUCUA
RNAcentral lists this small RNA (122 nucleotides) under Marmota monax (woodchuck). Lineage: Eukaryota; Metazoa; Chordata; Mammalia; Rodentia; Sciuridae. The record is from RNAcentral.